GAAGGUGAUCUCCACAACUUACUCUUCCACCAUCUUCCCCUCGUCCUUCCAUUCCAUCUUUUGCUUGGUUGAUAAAUGUACAUUAUCGCUUCUCAGCUUUACAUAUUACAUCUUUACAUGCUAUUACUACAAUUCAAGAUGGACCAAGAGCUGGGUUUCAUAUGAAUGAGUUUAUUCCCUCUUCUUGAGAUCUGACAUGAAGGAGUAUUUCAGUAACAAUUUUGCCUCUCAUCCUUAAGGGCCAGUGAGAAUUUUCAUGCUGGUAAGCACUUUGUCCUGAAGAUACUGACAUUGCUCUCAGGGAGUGUAACCCUCCAGUGACAAUGGGACUCUGGGGUCAUCAGUGAUGCUGGCCUCCACGGUUGAAUAGUGUGGUCCAGUGUGUCCCAGGGAGAUGGAUUCCUGAGAGCUCAGUGUCUGCCACAUGUUUCAUUCUAAAGUUCCCUUUUAUAAGUGUGCCUGGAUAAAUGGUGACUUCAAAAAUGGACCUCAGUGGAAUCUGAACAAAAUGAGUGACAAAAUCGCUUAUGUGAGCUGAGGUCCAGUCCACGGACAAUGCUAGGCAAACGUGUGGAGGGAUAUUCAAUUUGCUCAGCAGGUGGUGUCCCCCAGAAAGGACUAUGGUAUUGAAAAACUAAGAUGUUGGCAUACACUAGAGGAACUGAAUUGUACAAAGGUCGCUAAAUAACCAAUUUGGGGAUGAUAUAAUAACUCUUUGGGUACUUGGCUGCCAGCAUGUACAAACUUGUAGUAAAUAAACUCUGGGUAAUCACCACUUGAAUAAUGAGUUCUAUGAGAAAUCUUUGUAACUACACUUGAACCAUUCACACAUUUAUCUGAGCUACCAAAAUCUUCUGAGUGAUUAUUGAUAUCUUUAGUGUGCUUAGAUUGUCAAACUUCAAAGAUAUUGUAUUAUGAACUUCUACUUUUCCUUUUUUAUUAAGUGGAACAAUUACAUGUAAAUUGAAGAGUAGAUGUGUGGAAUCUUCACAACAUAUUUUAAUUUGCUUGCCAACCCAGACACCAGAAGUAGAACAGUUGUUUCUUUGUUUUUCAUUUUUCUUACAAACUGAGCAAGUAAUUUCAUAUAUUUUGAAUGCUGGCUUCAAUUACUAAUAGUUUUUUGAUGUGAAAUGAUUAUACUUCAAAUUCUUAGAUUUUUACAUGGAUAUCAUUGGCCCCUUUCAUAUAUUCUCAAUGGGUUUCUAAUGUGUUUAAAGAGACAUCCUAGUUACAGUAAAUGAUUUUGCAGUGACUGUUUUGGGGAAACUUUGAGACAAAUAUCUUAGAAAAAAUUAUAUCUGUUCUACUGUGAUCAAACUUGUGAGCAUAAUUGUUCUUGUCAUCUCAAGGAAUAUCUAUUAUGAAUACUUAUAACUUCUUACAGCUGAAUAUUCCAUUAGGAAAACUUUGUUUUGCAAUUUCCCUAAUUUCCUGUGUACUUUUUAUAUUGACCAUGACAUUAGAAUUCCAUGAAUGUCAUCACCACACCACUGAAGUACUGAUUUUGUCACUUGUGCCAGCUCUCUUAACUGAGAAGUAACAAAACAAUGCACUCCUAGGGUAACAUCCAAUUUUAGUAAAUUUACUUUUCUGGAUUAUUUUUAUUAUUUUUUAAGUAAUCAAAAAUUGUAUUGAGUUGUUGAAUAAUCAGUUAAUACAAACAACUCUACUAGCUUUAAUAAUCUGUUGAGGCAUCUGAGGCUUCAGUCUCCUUUAUUUUUAAGAUUUUAUGCUUUACUUUAACCAGAAACAUCCUAGAGGAGUAAUAAAUUAGGAGAUUUUACAUAAAGAUACAUAGCACAUCUUCUUGUCUUAUGCAAUUUUGACAAAUAGACAUGUAUACCUUUCACCUUUUCACAUUUAUACUUUCCCACAAGUAGAUAUGGACCAAAAACUAGGUUUCAUAUGGACGAGUUUCUUCCUACUCCUUGAUAUGUGCCAUGAAGGAAAAUAUUAGGAAUAAUUCUGCCUUCCAUCCUCAAGGGCCAGUGGGAAUUCUAAUGUACUUUUUCCUGAAAAUACUCCAUCCCAGGGAGACGGAGUCCUGAGAGCUCAGUGUCUGCCACAUAUCUAAGGAUCAAGGUCUCUUUCACAAAUGUGCCUGGAUCGAUGAUGACUUCAAAAAUGGAUAUUGUUGGAAUCUGAACAAAAUUAGUGACAAAAUCACUGAUGUGAACUGAGGUCCAGCAGAAGAGACCAUGCUAGGCAAAAAUGUUGGGGUAGAGCUCAGUUUGGUCAGCUACUGGUACCUAUAGGGUCCAUAGUAAUUGAAUGCUGUCCUGAUUGCAUACAUUAAAGGAAUUGAAUUUCACAGAGGUCUAUAAAUAUCUGACCUAGGGAUGACAUGGCAACUCUGAAUGCUUGGCUGGCAGUUUCCAUGCAUUCAUAGUAACCAGAUCCUGGAGAACCAGCACAGGAGUAGAGAGGCUGGUGGUAAAUGGUUAUGUCUACCCAUGAGCUAUUCACACAUUUUUCUUAGGUGCCUAAGUCUUCAGAGUGAAGUCAAUUAGGUAUUCAAGGCAGAAUAUAUGAGUGUUUAUUUAUCUCUUAAAGUAAAAGAAAAACAUAGAAAUUGAAGAGCAGUUUCUAUUUGUCAAAAUGUCUUCCAGAACAUUUUAAUUUCCUUGCUGACCAAGUCACAAGUAUUAGAAGAGUUUUUUUCCCUGUCACCCAAAGAGGAAUUUUCUAGACGUUUAUGUUAUGGAUCCAAAUAGAUGCUGUAUUAAACAUAUUUAAUUAAAAAUUAUUACAUUUCCAAUUAUUUAUAUUUUAGGUAGAUUUCAUUGCCCAGUGUUCAUAUUGUGUUAGUGGGUUUCAUAGUGUUGAAGGGGAGAUCCUAGUAUUAAUGCCUGCUGCUGAGGGAAGGCUUUGGGGAAACUUUGAGACCAAGACCUUACAACUUUCAGUGUUACCCUGAUCCAAGUAGUGAGCAUUAUUUUUCUUCUUAUACAGAUAGUCAAGGGAAUAUCUAUGGUUUAUUCCUUAUAAUCUGUUAUUAGUUAGUAAACUUUCAAUUAUGAUGGUUUGGUUUGUCAAAUUCCCUAAUUUCCCAAUAUAUUCAGUAGAUUAGAGGUGAUAUUGAAGUUGGAUGGAAUUCCUCCCACUUCUUCAAGGAACUGCUGAUUUUGUCAUUCAUACCAGCUCCCUUCUGCAUAAAUAAUCACAACAAUGCACUCCAGAGAUGGAAGUGACUUUGGAAUUGCAUAGAAUACUCACCACCAUAAAAAAGUGCUGAUUUUGUUGCUUUCACCUGUUCCCUCUCCUGGGAUGGAACAAAAUAAUGAACUCCAAAGUUCCACAGAUAUGGACCACUGGUUGAGUUUAAUAUGAAAGAGUUUAUCCCUCUUCUUGAGAGGUGACAUGAAGGAAAGUAUUGAAAAUAGUUUUACCAUCUCAUCCUCGAGAGCCAGUGGGAAUUGUAACAUCAGUUGGAAGUAAUAUUGGAAUUGCAUGGAAUUCUUACCACCCCACCAAAGAAGAGCUGGUUUUGUCACUUCUGCCAGCUCCUUAUCUAAGAAGAAAUCCAAUGAUGCACUCUCAAGGUUGACGUGUUCCAAAAACUGGGUUUCAUAAGGAUGAGUUUAUCCCUUCCCCGUGAGAUGAGACAUGAAGGAAAGUGUUGGGAAUAAUUCUGCUUCCCAUCAUCAAAGGCCUGUGUGGAUUCUCACAAAGGUGAUAGAGCCUAGAAGGAAAGGGAAACUGUCUAUGCUUUUGCCUUAACUUUUGAAUGUCAGUUCUAGAGAAGGAGGUGACAACUUACUUCUCAGCCAGUGCUCUCCCUUCCUACCUGUGGUCCUUUGGACACCCUCGCAGAAGAUGACUUCUUGGGAACUCUUUUGGGAAUGAAUGAUACCAGUAAAUCCCUGAAGCAAGAUUCUUCAGACAGAGCCUAUUCACCUACCUGUUGUCCAAGGGCUACCCUCUGAAGGUGAUGACCACAGAGACGAGGUGGAUUUGUUACUGUGGGUACCAUUACUUCUACCAUCAGCUUCUUCAAAACAAUGAUACAGUCUUCUUUGUGCAUGGAAACUCUUCUAUUUCCUGUGUUGCAGUGGAUUCCUCCUGCAGAUAAGAAAUGCUUAACUGAGAAAUGCUCAUGUUGGGAUAUCAUCGAUGAGACUUUAAUUUGGGCAUGGUGACUGUUUCCCUUGCUUCCACUUGACUCAAUCCCAGGAGCCUCAGUAGAGGAAAUAUUAUUGCACAAGAAACUCAGAAUGGUGGAAUUGCUCAGUGCUCCCAUAAAUACACAUUUAUAAUUUUCAUUUGCCAUGUGGUAAAUUUAAAAAUUAAGAUCUAUUAAAAUUUUUUCAAAAAUUCAAAGCAUAUCUAAAUAUCUAAUAUAUAAAUUAAGUGCCCUCCUCUCUCCCAAUUCUAUCUCCUAGAGUUAUCCUCUAUUAAGUGAGUUGUGUGCAUUCUUUAAGUGGAUAGAUGCACACACACACAAACACACACACACAAGAUAUUUUGGGGGGUUCUGGAAGUGGAGCUAUAUUGUACACAUUAUUCUUCAAAUUGCAUUUCAUUUAACAGUUUUUUCAAUACCUUUUUCUGUUUCAGUAAUACAUAUCUGUGUCAUUUGUUGAAUGACUGCAUGAUUGUUUUGUACAUGAAAUAUAAUUAAAUGUUUUAAGCAUUUCUCAUUCAUAGAUAUUUAUGUUAGCACCAAAUUUCUGUGCAAUGAACCUCCCUAUAUAUCAAUAAUUUGCAUUUGUCUAUUAUAUCAUAAUAAAUUACUCAGCAGUGAAAAUACUGGGAUUAAGUAUAUGCACAUUUCAAAUUUUGAAAAUGAUCACAAGAUUUCCUUUAAAAUGUGGUAACAACUUUAUCCUCAAAUGGCAAUGAAUGAGAUUGCCAGCUUUCCCACAACCUCACAGAUAAUGAAUUUUAUGACUAUUUAAAAUCUUUGCCAGUGUGAUAGCCCAAACUAUUGUCUUAAAUUGUAUUUCUUUCAUUUUUGAGUGUGAUCAUUUUUUCAUAUGUUUAUUAGCCAUCUGUAUUUUUAAAUUUUCUUUUUAUAUCCAAUUUUGGGGGUGGGUGGAGGUUUUAAUCUCUUGCUAAUUUCAGAGAGCUCAUUUAUUAUUGGGGGAAUAAGCUUUAGAUUGUCAAGCAUUACAGAUAUUUUUUACACACUUUUAAACUUCAUUUUUGUUAUAAGAAUGUGUAUGACUGUUAUGUGUCCAAGUAUAACCAUGUUCGCUUCUAUGGCUUCUGAGUUUCAUGUCAUUUUAGAAAGAUAUUUACACUGAUCCCAUAAAACUCUCCACCUAUGUUAACUUCUAAUUAUUUUGUGUUUUUUAAUUCAAAUUCUUAAAUCAUGAGAAAGUUUUUUUAUUUCAAAUCUUAAAGUUGCCAAGUUAUUUGCCAUUACUUGCGAUUUAUUUGCCAAUAACUGCCCAUUUAUCUGUAAUGCCAUCUUGCAUAUAUGCUGUAUUCUCAUCUGUGACUGGCUCCAUUUUUGUUCUGUGGGUCUGUGUGUCUUCUUCUGCCUCCUGUCUCAUGUGUCUUCUCAUUGGAAGAAAUUACAGUUUAGACUGCAAUUUCAUCAACUUCAAUAAAUUAAUUUAGUGGAGAAUUGGUUUUUAACAAUAGUCUUCCUAUCCAAGAACAAGGUAUGUCUUUCUUU
This is a non-coding RNA of Delphinapterus leucas (beluga whale), 5626 nucleotides long. The record is from RefSeq and is a predicted model, not a curated record. Lineage: Eukaryota; Metazoa; Chordata; Mammalia; Artiodactyla; Monodontidae.